This 253-nucleotide ribosomal RNA is filed under the name uncultured bacterium. Its description in RNAcentral is "partial 16S ribosomal RNA". It matches the Rfam family "Bacterial small subunit ribosomal RNA", at positions 524 to 776 of the family's 1533-position model. The record is from RNAcentral.
UACGGGGGGGGCAAGCGUUGUUCGGAAUUACUGGGCGUAAAGGGCUCGUAGGCGGCCAACUAAGUCAGACGUGAAAUCCCUCGGCUUAACCGGGGAACUGCAUCUGAUACUGGAUGGCUUGAGUUCGGGAGAGGGAUGCGGAAUUCCAGGUGUAGCGGUGAAAUGCGUAGAGAUGUGGAGGAACACCAGUGGCGAAGGCGACUCUCUGGGCUGUAACUGACGCUGAGGCGCGAAAGCGUGGGGAGCAAACAGG